GACGAACGCUGGCGGCGUGCUUAACACAUGCAAGUCGAACGGAGCGAAUGAAAGCUUGCUUUUAUGAGCUUAGUGGCAAACGGGUGAGUAACACGUAGACAACCUGCCGACAGGAUGGGGACAACAUUCCGAAAGGAAUGCUAAUACCGAAUGAAGCGGAGGAGAGGCAUCUCUCCUCCGUGAAAGAUGGCCUCUGAAUAUGCUAUCACCUGUCGAUGGGUCUGCGUCUGAUUAGCUAGUUGGUGAGGUAACGGCUCACCAAGGCGACGAUCAGUAGCCGGUCUGAGAGGAUGAGCGGCCACAUUGGGACUGAGACACGGCCCAGACUCCUACGGGAGGCAGCAGUGGGGAAUCUUCCGCAAUGGGCGCAAGCCUGACGGAGCAACGCCGCGUGAGUGAAGAAGGUCUUCGGAUCGUAAAGCUCUGUUGAUGGGGACGAAUGUGCGAAGGGUGAAUAAUCCUUUGCAAUGACGGUACCUAUCGAGGAAGCC
Molecule: ribosomal RNA, 491 nt
Filed under: Centipeda infelix
Lineage: Bacteria; Bacillati; Bacillota; Negativicutes; Selenomonadales; Selenomonadaceae
Description: bacterial SSU rRNA
Rfam family: Bacterial small subunit ribosomal RNA
Source: RNAcentral